UAAGGGGUGUUACACAAAGCCACUCCCUUGUAGUCAACCAAACAUGUAGAUCAUGUUGUAUAUGGUACCCCCAAAGUUCGUUCCCAACUUGAUAUCUCAAGCACUUGUCUUUGGAUACCUAAGCAAAGAAAACCAAACAAAGUGAGAGAAACUCAAAUUAACAAGUGAAAAUCAGUUGUGCUAGUAUCUGAUCAUGUUAUACAGAAUUUAAGAGGCUAUGGUAAGUAAAUGGGGGAAUAGAAGUUUUAAGUACAGCAAGCUGGGUUUUUUAGUUCCCAUGAACCUCGCUCGUAGAAAGUACAUUCUUUAAGAUUUACAAACUAAAUGCAUCUUUGAGCCAGCUAGUUGUUAUAAAUCUGAAAUUUGCUCUCUCUUUGUUGCAAUUAUCUCUAAAAACUAGGUUCGUUCAAAAUAGUAAUGAAAAUAUCAAGAAAAAAAUAGUGGUACAAGAAGAACACGAGCUGAAAUCUCAGAAAAUAAAAGAAAAGGCCUUUAAAUUAAACCAUCACUAAUGCUGCUAACAUUUUUGCAAUGACUCCUUUAGAAGAAGAGUAGGAGCUUUUGCUCCUAAAUUUACUUUGAAACAUAUUCAACAAAUAAGCUAGAUUAACAAGAAUAUUUCUUGGACAGUUUGAUCAAGUAUGCUUAACUGAUUUUUAAUUAUUUUAAACUUAUUUUUUCACUCUAAUUCUUAAGUUUUUUUUUUGGGUCCACCUCAUGCUCUAAUGUUUUUAAUUGUUCACUGAUUGAAUCCUUUCAACGUUAAAAAAACAAUUAAAAUAUUCAACUAAUCAUAAAUUGCUAUGUGUUAGAUUGUGAUAUCAUUACGAGAAAAAAAAAAUUAAGUUUUUUAAAAAUAUUUAAAAAAUGUAAAAAGUACUAAAAAAUUAAGUUCCCGAAUAAUUGUUGCUUGUGGCUAAGAAUUUUUCCUGGGUUACUAAUUGUUGGAAACAGCACGACAUCAAAACAAAGUCUAGCCUGGUUGGACUUCAACUCUUCCCGAAGGUCGAAUGAUGCAAAUGAGCAGUAAGAUCCUAGGGCUGUUGGAUGGAUGAAUGUAAUAUUAUAUAUAUUUGGUAUUACAGUUUAAAAUUAGUUAUGUUGGAAUUAAAGAUGGUAUUUAAAAUAAUAAUAUUCUAAAAUUCAAAAUUAGUAAAUGUAAAAACUCCAUGCAAAAAAUAAGAUAGAUGGCUAUGGAAGAGGAAGACUAGCAAUGUUUAUGAUAUCUCAUUAACAUGCACUGUGUAAUUAUGUAAAUAAUGAUAUGUAAUGUAAAUCCUUG
This 1282-nucleotide long non-coding RNA is filed under the name Gossypium barbadense (sea-island cotton). RNAcentral's name for it is "long non-coding RNA (GBAR_LNC021939)". The record is from RNAcentral. Lineage: Eukaryota; Viridiplantae; Streptophyta; Magnoliopsida; Malvales; Malvaceae.